Molecule: long non-coding RNA, 1574 nt
Organism: Phasianus colchicus (ring-necked pheasant)
Lineage: Eukaryota; Metazoa; Chordata; Aves; Galliformes; Phasianidae
Source: Ensembl
UAGAGAAAAGUAUUUUAUAACUCAAUUUCUCCACUUACCAGCCAUAGUACCCAGAAAUCAGCCACACAAUCUUUUUAACUUCUUUGGGCUCUGGCUUUGAACUUUUACUUCACAUUGACUCAGGACAGAAAUGUCACCAUUCCCCAGAAUUUGUAAAAAUAAUUUAUUUUCAGUCUUAAUUAAACUUUCAAUUGCAGUAAGACUGAAUGGCCUUGUUUUUACUCUUAUCUGAAUUUAAACCCUUUGAUUUUCCAUCUGUAUUAAAUUGAAAUGUGAUCUAAAAUGCAACAUGGUGAAGGCUAAAUAAAACCUGCUUAACGCUAUUUUCAAGAGAAGUGUUGUGGUAACUUCUCCCAGGUAAUCCCACAGAAACAAUUUUUUUCUCAAAAGUUCUAUUCUCAAGUCAGCAAAAGAUGUUAAAGACCUUUCAGUGGAAUAGCACUUUUUGCCAGGGACACUUCUAACUUAUCUUCCUUUACAUGCUAUGGGCAAUAACGACGCACGAAAGCCUUGCUCCAUUUUUACGUUGCCUGCUUACACACCUUUUUUGUACUGAUAUGCUUUUCCAUAUAAAGCAUUAGCUCUGUUACAAAACAACAGACAGAAUGCCUCCACAGCUAAACCGAGGAUUCCAGUCUUCCAUAGCCCUCUUCCUAAAGAGCUGUUAAUUAGUUUCAUGAAAAUAGACUGAAGGCACUAGGUCAAGGUUUUAAAGAAAAGUUUUUUCUUUCCUGAGAUAAUGGGAAAUGAAAAAGACGGUAAAAGAUAAUCAACAACUCAAAUAUUCCUAAACAGAAGAGUUUCAAACUGCUCCUAAACACCAAGGCCAGGGAAAUUAGCUGGCUCAAAAUUAUGCUGCUUGGACCUCACCCCUCUCACACAUCCUUGCCUUAGAGAGAAUCAAGGAGUGAAAUAACAGUGAAAGGCUCCAAUCAUGCCUUUUCCAUUGUCUCACUGACACAUGCAAGAUCUAGAUGUCAAAACCAGAAAGAGAGGGUGAGAAUUCCUUCAUGCAUACAGGCAGCAAAUAAGGGUACAGAUCAGGACCCAGACAUCCUGCAUGGCAACGUGCUGUUGAUAGUGAGGAUCACUGAAGUGUUUAAGCAAGGAGGAAAGGCCACAUGCACACAGUUACAACUAAGCAGGUACGUAAGUGAUGGCUGGAUUACAGUUUUGCAACACAAAGCUGAAAACAACUCAAGGGUAGAGAGCACACAACAAGAGUACUCUCGGCAAAUAAAACAAUAUUAAAAUCAUUAAAAAUAUUCAAACUAAGCAGAGAAAAUUCCAAGCCUUCUAAGCCUUUACACAGGCAAAGUUGCUUGGCUUCAGUGCCUAAGCAUCUCCAUAGUAACUGCUACUAGGGAUUUUCAGAACAUUUUAUGAACAUGAUUUAUACAUGAUUGUAUAUUUUACAGCAUAUCUGCCUCGAGGGUUUUGCUGAGUAUCAUUUUCCUGAUUUUAUUAAUAGAGAAACUCUGUGCUUACGUGCCUUGUUCAAAGUACUUACACAAAGGAGUCCCUGAGGACUAUGAAUACUGCUGCUCAAAGUCUAGAAAUCUGUCCUCUUCUCC